AAAAAGAGUAACGCCAAACAAAGAUAGGGAUAGAGAUAAGAUUGAAAAUACAGCGCUGAUCAACAACAGAACCCUCCCCUCCUCGCGAUCGUCUUCAAAGACGAGAACCAUCAACGACCCCUCCCCAUCGAGCUUCUUCUUCAGGAGACAAAAAUCAAAAACAGAGCUUAGGCACUCUCAAACCAACGCCGUAGCAACCAAAACCAAAUGACCCUCUUUUCUUCACCUUCUUCUCCGCUUUUGAAUACACACACAUGCACAACAGAGAUGGGGUAUUUCAAUCCAAAACAAUCGAGUGAACAGUAGUGAAAACAGAUAUGGGACGAGCCAAAAAUAGGGUCAAACCCUUCCAAUUUCAAGCGACGUUCAGUUGCCAAAGUUCCGGUGGCGAUUUGGUCUUUGUUUUGGUUUAUUUUUGGAUUUUUAUUCGCGCUUCAGGUAUGAAAUUUCGAUUCGAAAUGUUGUAAUUGUCACUGGAUGCUCUAUUACACUUAAAUGUGUAAUAAUUUUUCCUCUAUCACUCUAAAAAUUUCGUUACUCGUUUUCGUUUUCCUCUGUUUCAUUUCGUCAUUUAUGUGACGAUUUGAGGCCUCAGUUUCGGCUAUUGAUCAAGUUACGUGAGGUUAUGCAGUAUUUGGAACAGUAUAUACUUUGUAUACCCAGUUGGGGAAUGCUUGGAAAUAUGUGUUUUCUUGUUUGUCUUUCAAUUUGGGGUCGUUGCUAUUUGGUUUAAUUAUAGUAUGCUUUUGUGAGUCUUAACGGAAUGUGGAUCCUGUUGUGUUGUUCUCUGAAUCGGGUUCUGUGGGUUCGAUAUGAAAUUCAAGAAUUAAUACAUAAUAUGAUUAUUGGUUGAUAUAAAAGGGUUCAUAAAUUUUUCCAAUUAAUUAAUUAAUUAGGGUGACACUUUGAAAUGAUUCAGAGUUACCCUCCUUUUGAUGGGGUCUAGUUGUUGCUAAUAGUCUGAAUUUAGUAAUUCCAGGGGAUGGAAAAUAGUCAACUGAUGGUCCUGAAUAAUUCGCCCUAAGCAUAGUUAGAACAUCACGACUACGGGUACGGUUCCCGUGGCGUAGUUGUGGUACCUAAUUUCAAAUUAGUUUUAAAUACGUAUAUCCUCACUUCAUUUAGUUGAAUAAUUUUGAGGCGUGCCAUUCACACAUUUGAAUCAUAUAACCUAUGGCCCUCACUUGAUUAAUCUUAGUUUCUUAGAAAUCGAGGCGUGUCAUUUAGCGAAUUUUUCAUGGC
Molecule: long non-coding RNA, 1242 nt
Filed under: Nicotiana benthamiana
Lineage: Eukaryota; Viridiplantae; Streptophyta; Magnoliopsida; Solanales; Solanaceae
Description: long non-coding RNA (NBEN_LNC007855)
Source: RNAcentral